CUUCCGCUUGUUGAGGACAGAUGAAAUGUAUGUGCGAAUCAAACCCACCAGUAGUGAUGAUCUUGUGCUCACCAGCAAUGACCUCCGUGUUGCUCCCUACGACCAUGUGUUCCGUUAUGUUGUCCAUAAUGUCUGGAUUGCCAGCUUUGCCAAUGCCAACGAUAUUGCCGUCUUUGACUCCAAUAUCGCACUUGAAGAUACCAGAGUGAUCCACCACCAGGGCAUUUGUGAUGACUAGAUCGAGGCACUCUGCAUCACGUCGACCAGAUGCCUGGCCCAUACCAUCGCGAAU
RNAcentral lists this small RNA (292 nucleotides) under Taphrina deformans PYCC 5710. RNAcentral describes it as "5' ureB small RNA". It matches the Rfam family "5' ureB small RNA". The record is from Rfam by way of RNAcentral. Lineage: Eukaryota; Fungi; Ascomycota; Taphrinomycetes; Taphrinales; Taphrinaceae.